This 711-nucleotide ribosomal RNA is filed under the name uncultured Enterobacteriaceae bacterium. Its description in RNAcentral is "bacterial SSU rRNA". It matches the Rfam family "Bacterial small subunit ribosomal RNA", at positions 791 to 1502 of the family's 1533-position model. The record is from RNAcentral. Lineage: Bacteria; Pseudomonadati; Pseudomonadota; Gammaproteobacteria; Enterobacterales; Enterobacteriaceae.
UAGUCCACGCUGUAAACGAUGUCGAUUUGGAGUUUGUUGCCUAGAGUGAUGGGCUCCGAAGCUAACGCGAUAAAUCGACCGCCUGGGGAGUACGGCCGCAAGGUUAAGACUCAAAUGAAUUGACGGGGGCCCGCACAAGCGGUGGAGCAUGUGGUUUAAUUCGAUGCAACGCGAAGAACCUUACCUGGUCUUGACAUCCAUAGAAUUCUGCAGAGAUGUGGGAGUGCCUUCGGGAACUAUGAGACAGGUGCUGCAUGGCUGUCGUCAGCUCAUGUUGUGAAAUGUUGGGUUAAGUCCCGCAACGAGCGCAACCCUUAUUCUUUGUUGCCAGCGAUUUGGUCGGGAACUCAAAGGAGACUGCCGUUGAUAAAGCGGAGGAAGGUGGGGACGACGUCAAGUCAUCAUGGCCCUUACGACCAGGGCUACACACGUGCUACAAUGGCGUAUACAAAGGGAAGCGAAGGUGCGAGCUGGAGCGGAUCUCAUAAAGUACGUCUAAGUUCGGAUUGGAGUCUGCAACUCGACUCCAUGAAGUCGGAAUCGCUAGUAAUCGUAGAUCAGAAUGCUACGGUGAAUACGUUCCCGGGCCUUGUACACACCGCCCGUCACACCAUGGGAGUGGGUUGCACCAGAAGUAGAUAGCUUAACCGCGAGGGGGGCGUUUACCACGGUGUGAUUCAUGACUGGGGUGAAGUCGUAACAAGGUAACCA